CAGUAGCCGCGGGAAUACGUAUGUCGCGAGCGUUAUCCGGAAUUAUUGGGCAUAAAGGGCAUCUAGGCGGCCUAACAAGUCAGGGGUGAAAACCUGCGGCUCAACCGCAGGCCUGCCUUUGAAACUGUAAGGCUGGAGUACCGGAGAGGUGGACGGAACUGCACGAGUAGAGGUGAAAUUCGUAGAUAUGUGCAGGAAUGCCGAUGAUGAAGAUAGUCCACUGGACGGAAACUGACGCUGAAGUGCGAAAGCCGGGGGAGCGAACAGGAUUAGAUACCCCGGUAGUCCCUGUCUCUUAUAC
Molecule: ribosomal RNA, 301 nt
Filed under: uncultured bacterium
Lineage: Bacteria
Description: partial 16S ribosomal RNA
Rfam family: Bacterial small subunit ribosomal RNA
Source: RNAcentral